AUUGAACGCUGGCGGAAUGCUUUACACAUGUAAGUCGAACGGUAGAGGGGGCAACCCCUCGAGAGUGGCGAACGGGUGAGUAAUAUAUCGGAACGUGCCCAGUCGUGGGGGAUAACGUAGCGAAAGUUACGCUAAUACCGCAUACGAUCUAAGGAUGAAAGCGGGGGAUCGCAAGACCUCGCGCGAUUGGAGCGGCCGGUAUCAGAUUAGGUAGUUGGUGGGGUAAAGGCUCACCAAGCCAACGAUCUGUAGCUGGUCUGAGAGGACGACCAGCCACACUGGAACUGAGACACGGUCCAGACUCCUACGGGAGGCAGCAGUGGGGAAUUUUGGACAAUGGACGCAAGUCUGAUCCAGCCAUUCCGCGUGCAGGAUGAAGGCCCUCGGGUUGUAAACUGCUUUUGUACGGAACGAAAAGGUCUCUCUUAAUACGGGGGGCUCAUGACGGUACCGUAAGAAUAAGCACCGGCUAACUACGUGCCAGCCGCCGCAGUAA
RNAcentral lists this ribosomal RNA (496 nucleotides) under uncultured bacterium. Its description in RNAcentral is "partial 16S ribosomal RNA". It matches the Rfam family "Bacterial small subunit ribosomal RNA", at positions 30 to 523 of the family's 1533-position model. The record is from RNAcentral.